Molecule: ribosomal RNA, 230 nt
Filed under: uncultured bacterium
Lineage: Bacteria
Description: partial 16S ribosomal RNA
Rfam family: Bacterial small subunit ribosomal RNA
Source: RNAcentral
AAAGCGUGCGCAGGCGGUUUGUUAAGACUGUCGUGAAAUCCCCGGGCUCAACCUGGGAAUGGCGAUGGUGACUGCAAGGCUAGAGUUUGGCAGAGGGGGGUAGAAUUCCACGUGUAGCAGUGAAAUGCGUAGAUAUGUGGAGGAACACCGAUGGCGAAGGCAGCCCCCUGGGUCAAAACUGACGCUCAUGCACGAAAGCGUGGGGAGCAAACAGGAUUAGAUACCCUGGU